GAACUACUGAGGAGUCCCACAAUAGGUCGAAACGGCCGUCCAGUGC
Molecule: non-coding RNA, 46 nt
Filed under: Schistosoma mansoni
Lineage: Eukaryota; Metazoa; Platyhelminthes; Trematoda; Strigeidida; Schistosomatidae
Source: RNAcentral